UCCCUAGUGGCUCAGUGGUAAAGAAUCUGCCUGCAAGGCAGGAGACCCAGGUUCGAUCCCUGGGUCAGGAA
This 71-nucleotide transfer RNA is filed under the name Bos taurus (domestic cattle). It matches the Rfam family "tRNA". Rfam says of the family: Transfer RNA (tRNA) molecules are approximately 80 nucleotides in length. Their secondary structure includes four short double-helical elements and three loops (D, anti-codon, and T loops). RNAcentral also lists the same sequence under 3 other names. Lineage: Eukaryota; Metazoa; Chordata; Mammalia; Artiodactyla; Bovidae. The record is from Rfam by way of RNAcentral.